CAGCCGCCGCGGUAAUACGGAGGGUGCGAGCGUUAAUCGGAAUUACUGGGCGUAAAGCGCGCGUAGGUGGCUUGAUAAGCCGGUUGUGAAAGCCCCGGGCUCAACCUGGGAACGGCAUCCGGAACUGUCAGGCUAGAGUGCAGGAGAGGAAGGUAGAAUUCCCGGUGUAGCGGUGAAAUGCGUAGAGAUCGGGAGGAAUACCAGUGGCGAAGGCGGCCUUCUGGACUGACACUGACACUGAGGUGCGAAAGCGUGGGUAGCAAACAGG
This 268-nucleotide ribosomal RNA is filed under the name uncultured prokaryote. Its description in RNAcentral is "partial 16S ribosomal RNA". It matches the Rfam family "Bacterial small subunit ribosomal RNA", at positions 509 to 776 of the family's 1533-position model. The record is from RNAcentral.